CCUACGGGAGGCAGCAGUGGGGGAUAUUGCACAAUGGGGGGAACCCUGAUGCAGCGACGCCGCGUGGGUGAAGAAGCGCCUCGGCGCGUAAAGCCCUGUCAGCAGGGAAGAAAAUGCCGGUACCUGAAGAAGAAGCCCCGGCUAACUACGUGCCAGCAGCCGCGGUAAUACGGAGGGGGCAAGCGUUAUCCGGAUUUACUGGGCGUAAGGGGGGCGCAGACGGCGAUGCAAGCCAGGAGUGAAAGCCCGGGGCCCAACCCCGGGACUGCUCUUGGAACUGCGUGGCUGGAGUGCAGGAGGGGCAGGCGGAAUGCCUGGUGUAGCGGUGAAAUGCGUAGAUAUCAGGAGGAACACCGGUGGCGAAGGCGGCCUGCUGGACUGCAACUGACGUUGAGGCCCGAAAGCGUGGGGAGCAAACAGGAUUAGAUACCCUUGUAGUC
RNAcentral lists this ribosomal RNA (440 nucleotides) under uncultured bacterium. Its description in RNAcentral is "partial 16S ribosomal RNA". It matches the Rfam family "Bacterial small subunit ribosomal RNA", at positions 338 to 795 of the family's 1533-position model. The record is from RNAcentral.